GGGAGCGGCCGGCCCGCGGCCAGGGGCUGGGGCCGGGGCCGGUGGGGCCGAGAGGGGACAGCAGAUCCCGGCGGGCCUCCUGCACCCGCGGAGCUUGUGACCGGCUCCGGAGGAAAUCCAGGAGAGUGAAUAAACUCAGCUGAGAAUGUCUGAAAACCUUGACAAGUCUAAUCUAAGCAAAGCAGGAAAAUCAAAAUCGGAUGAAGGCCUUGAAGAUGCUGUGGAAGGUUCUGAUGGAGCUUUACAGAAAAAAAUAAAGUCGGACACUCCCAGCCCCCAGAGAGUGCAUAGACCUCACUCUAGUCCUUCUCGACUGGUGACAGCGGAGGAACUGCUGGAGACAGCAAAAGGAGUCACUAACAUGGCUCUCGCCCACGAGAUCGUGGUGAAUGGGGACUUUCGGAUUAAACCGGUCGAGUUACCAGAAGACAGCUUGGAGAAGAGGAUAAAGGACAUAGUCCACAAAGCCUUCUGGGACUGUCUGGGCGCCCAGCUGGGGGAAGACCCCCCGGCCUACGACCACGCCAUCAAGCUGGUGGGAGAGAUCAGAGAGACUCUCCUGUCUUUCCUGCUGCCUGGCCACACCCGGCUGAGAAACCAGAUCACAGAAGUCUUGGACCUGGACCUGAUAAAACAGGAGGCGGAGCACGGGGCCCUGGACAUUUCGCGGCUGGCGGAGUUCAUCAUCGGCGUGAUGGGGACACUGUGCGCGCCUGCUCGUGACGAGGACGUGCAGAAGCUGAAGGACAUUACGGAGAUUGUCCCUCUGUUCAGGGCCAUCUUUGCCGUCCUGGACAUGAUGAAAGUGGACAUGGCCAACUUCGCGGUGAGCAGCAUCCGGCCACACCUCAUGCAGCAGUCGGUGGAGUACGAGAGGAGGAAGUUUCAGGAGCUCCUGGAGAAGCAGCCGAAUUCCCUGGACUUUGUCACCCAGUGGCUGCAAGAAGCCUCGGAUGACCUCAGGAACCAGAGGUGUAAACGUGCCCUGCUGGCCGGGGAGGAAGCUGCUGGCUCAGGGGCUGCGCCUGCACCCAGCCCAACCGCCAUCCAGAACCACGCUUACCUGAGGCUGCUGAAGUGGGACCACCUGCGGAGACCGUUCCCUGAGACAGUUCUGAUGGACCAGUCCCGCUUCCGGGAGCUCCAACUGCAGCUGGAGCAGCUGAGUGUCCUGGGGGCUGUCCUGCUGGUGGCCUUCAGCACGGCGGCCCCGGGGCUCUCCAGCCAGGCGGACUUUGCCGAGAAACUGAAGACCACUGUGAAGGCCCUGCUGGCGGAGAUGCACCUGCCCUCCUUCCACUUGCCGGCCGCCCUGACCGCCAUCGGGGAGAGAGUGUGCCUGGAGGUGGGCGGCUUCCUCUCGCGGUGUGGCUCAUCCCCCUUUUCCUCGGACAAGGAGGCUGCGCUCAAGGGCCAGAUCCAGGCCGUGGCCAGUCCUGACCACCCCAUUCGCAGGAUCAUGGAAUCCCGGAUCCUGACCUUCUUGGAGACCUUCCUGGCCGCGGGUCAGCAGAAGCCCCUGCCCACGGUGCCUGGCGGGCUGGGUCCCGUUCAGAGAGAGCUGGAGGAGGUGGCCGUCAAGUUCGCUCGCCUGGUCACCUAUAACAAGAUGGUCUUCUGUCCCUACUACGAUGCGAUCCUCGCCGAGCGCCUCCUCGGGCCCUAGGAGCGCGCGCCCGCUCCUGCCACCACCUCCCCUGUACCGUGCUUUGGACGAAGCCACGCGGUCCUUUUCUGCUGAGCAGCAGCAAGUCCCACGGGAAGAGGGCGUGUGUCACUGGAGACCUUCAGGCCGGGUGACAGUGCGCCGGGACUGUCAGGAGUGCGAGUGGCAGUGGAAGACACCCUGUGCCCCUGUGAUUUACAGGGCGCUCAGUGUGGACACACCUGCGGGGGGCAGCCAUGGCUUUCCAGGGAGGCUGGCCCUGUCCCACCCUGGGUGUGGCGGCCACCCCAGAGCAGGUGCUCUGCCCCAGCCGUCCGCGUAGAAGGGCUCUCUGCAAUCUCGCUCCUUUUCCUUUCCGUGUGUCGCUGCCUCCCAGCCUGCCCUCACCAGGGCUCCAGAGCCUUCUGAAGGAGAGUAAUUUGAUUUAAAAAGUUGUUCUUUUAAACAAAAUUACUCCUGAGCCUGGGCAGUUAUGACUCAUGGAAUCUAGAGAAAGGAGGGUCUUUGAUUUUUAAGCCUUGAAAGUUAAGGUUGAAAUUACAUGUGUGUGUGUGUAUAUGUGCAUGUGUAUGUGUAUGGAUGUAUGUCUAUGUGUGCAUAUGUGUGUACAUGUGUGUAUGUACAGAAAUGGGGCUGACGUGAAGUCGAUGGUGACUGGCCGCCAGGGUCAUGUGCGCAGGCUCUUCUCACCAAAGCGCCCAGUCUCUUCUGCAGUAUUUGUCAGGGCACUUUGGUGGCCACGAUUCCUGACAUGGUCUGCGACUGUGAGUAGUUUAGGUCUGAUGGACCACCUGUUCUGUUCAUAUGUAUUUACACACACGGUGCGUGUGUGUGCGUGUGUUGCACAGGCGCUAUGCCGAAGCAGAGCCGUGGGGCUCUGGCUCAGUGUCCACCAGCUGCGGGUGAGUGCGGCCCCAUCGGUGGCUGCGGGUCCUCAGUGCGCGCUGGGGCAUCCCGUUCCCCUAGGAUGACAGGGCUCUGAAGUCGGGUGACCCCGGAGGUCGGACGUCCGGACCGAAGCUGCAGAGGCGGCAGCCACGCUCUGCACUUCUGGGGGAGGCACCUGGCACGCUGGGUUGGCCAGGUCCGCGGUGCCGCCAGAGUGGCCGCGGGGACAGCUGGGGCUCGUGGAGGACUUAGGUCCUGUCGGAAGGAGGUGCGGGGGGAAGGUGGCCGAGGUCCCGCGGAGGUGGCGCCGGCGGGUGCCGAGGGGUUUCUCGGGGGCACGGUGCAAGGUGCCCGGCGCACACGGUGCGGUCCUGCGGUGCUCGCGGCCCGCCCAGGGAGGCGGCACUUGUUCCGCUCUGUGCCUUUGGGGUGGGGGUGGGCAGGCCGAGCGCGGGCCAGGCCGCGAGCUGGGGUGAUGGCCUUCUCAGGCCCUGGCGCAGGGCUGCCUGCUCCUCAGGCUCCUUUCCAGCCCGAGGGUGUGCAGCCUGAGUGUCCUUGCUCUUAGGUUGUCGAUCCUGGGCUGGCCUCUCGCUCGGCCUCAGGACGGCGGUGAAAUGGGCCGCUCCUGGCUCUCACAGCGGCCUGAGCGUUGAUCCCAUCCUGUGCGUUGGAACGCUGUGUCCGCGGAGGACUCAAGGCGGCGCUUCGGCCCUGCACCUGCAGGGGGCUGCUGUCCGUAAGGACGCAGCGGGCAGCGCCGCCUCCCUCCUCCGGUGGGGAAGGGUCUCCCCUGACACUGCUCCGCUUGUGUUCUCUUCCGGCCUAGAGCUGCAGUCUCACCUCUCCCCACCUCGCUGCCAUCAAGCCAGUGACUCUCCUCCUGCUGGUCUGUGUUAUUUGAACUCAGUACUCCUAUGAGCAGAUGAGCAGAUAAGUGAGGGGGAUGGGCGAUGGGUCUGAAACCCCUGAUUAAAGGCAUGGCCUCAUUUAAAACCAGUCUAAGUAACCUAGUGACAUUUGCAACGGCUAUUUUUAUUGGAUUUUGUAUUGUGUAAUUAUUUUACUACACAGCCUUUUCCUUUUUUAAACUUUUAUUUCUUUUUAUUUUACAUUCAUUAUUACAGCAUACAAAAUGAAUUUUCCCAUACGCU
Tupaia belangeri chinensis (Chinese tree shrew) is the source of this 3705-nucleotide RNA transcript. It is a transcript of the gene named t-complex 11 like 1, with no coding region annotated. The transcript is spliced from 11 exons. The record is from RefSeq and is a predicted model, not a curated record. Lineage: Eukaryota; Metazoa; Chordata; Mammalia; Scandentia; Tupaiidae.